UGGUUGUGAUUGUGGUGAUGAUGGUGAUGGUGAUGAUGGUGGUGGUGGAACUGAUGGUCGUCUUCGUCAUACUCGUCACUGUCGUCGUCAUCGAAA
Molecule: microRNA precursor, 96 nt
Filed under: Pythium arrhenomanes ATCC 12531
Lineage: Eukaryota; Oomycota; Peronosporomycetes; Pythiales; Pythiaceae
Description: miRNA EPrPArr00000013094
Source: RNAcentral